Molecule: non-coding RNA, 23 nt
Filed under: Arabidopsis thaliana (thale cress)
Lineage: Eukaryota; Viridiplantae; Streptophyta; Magnoliopsida; Brassicales; Brassicaceae
Source: RNAcentral
UGAAGUGCAUGAUUGGCGCCGAC